Schistocerca gregaria is the source of this 3159-nucleotide long non-coding RNA. RefSeq lists it as uncharacterized. The record is from RefSeq and is a predicted model, not a curated record. Lineage: Eukaryota; Metazoa; Arthropoda; Insecta; Orthoptera; Acrididae. The transcript has 3 exons.
ACACACAGAAUUACGAGCUUUCGCAACUGGCAGUUGCUUCGUCAGGAAGGAAGGAAGGAAAGGGAAAAAUGAAAGGAUGUGGGUUUUAAGGGAGAGGGUAAGGAGUCAUUCCAAUCCCGGGAGCGGAAAGACUUCCCUUAGGGGAAAAAAAGGACAGGUGUACACUCGCACACACACACACAUAUCCAUCCGCACAUACACAGACACCUCACUUGCAACUUGCCUCACAGCGCUCUAGAAACUCCAAAGUUAAAUGUAAAAUGUCACAUUCUCAUAGAAACUUUGUAAAGGAACAUAAUAAUUACCUUGUGCACAAACAGAUUUGCGUGCAGUAUCAAGAAUAACGAAGGGACAUGCAUAUAUGGUAGAGAAGACACUGAACACAGGUGCUUAAAGCUCAUUAAUCAGCUAGGGACAGAGCAUGCUUUUGAAAUUUCUGCUACAGAAAGAAAGUUAAAUAUAAUUGCGAAAGUGGAAAUGAUUGUGCAGUAGAAGUCAAGGAAGUGAUUGCAUUGUCAAAGUGCUAAGCUGACACAGUCUGAAGUUAUUUGGCAAUCUUGUUUUUUUGCUAGGAUUGGCCUGCCAGUUUAAAUGAAAUUAAAUAUAAAUUUUUGUUUAACACCUACAGCAGCAGAAAUAAGAUCUGUAACCUUGCCAGAACACAGUCAAACAACAAUAUAUGACAAUAAAGGACAGUAAAUGUUAAUUUAAUUUGCCUGAAAACUUCUAAUUAAAACAAACAACUACCAUACAUUUCCGUUGCAAUCUCCACAUUUCAGUGUGUAAGUAUUGCAAUUGAAAUCUCCAGACAAGUAGUUCUGGGUAUUGAGGUUUUAUACCGUAAUUUUAUGGCAGCUGAAUUCCAUAUUGAUAUGCUACAUUUCACGAAUCUUUUGCUAGUGAGCAGGAUAAGCGGGAAAAAUUGAUGGCACAGCUUCUUCCCUAAUGCGGACUGACGAAACUGAUGUUCGAUCAGUAUCUUCCUCCCGGAAAUGCUGCGAACAUAUUUUACUGUACUUGGUUGGUUUCCAAUCUUUCCUUCUCACAGCGUUCACCCAGAGAGCUCUUUGCAUUGGAUUGAUAGGGAAUCUAAAGUCAAGUCACAGAAAUAAAACCAUACAGUACAACUUCACAGUGCAUCAGAAUUUCAAGUAUAUAUAAGAAAAUAAAGCCCACUUACGAAUGAAAUGUGAUUUGUUUAAACUUUAGACUACAACCAGAACGAUUAGUACACCCGUAAGCGACGCAAGCCGGCAUUUUUUUAUCACAACACUUGACGACCACACGGAAUCAAACCACCAAAUGCAAAUAUUUUGGGGUAGGUAACGUGGCGGACCUUCUCUUGGGUUGGCUUCAAGUUUGUGACGUCAUAACAACUCUUUUUAUUUUUACCUCCAUGUGAAAUAUGAGAGUUGAGAUCUCUCUGGUGCACUUCUCACAAAUUUGUAGAUAACUUCUGCCAUAUUCACAAGUUUCUUCUGUGGGAGCUUCUUUUAAUGAAGUGAUUCAUUUGAUUUGUUCAGAUGUAGCGAAAGUGAUCGCCUCCGUUUAUCUCGUUUUAGUGACAGAGAGAGAUGGGUAAGUUACUGGGCUGACCCGUAAAUGGAAAGUGAGGUUAGGUGACUGUGGCACAGUACAGCGUAAUUUCUUGUAAGAUGGAUUUACCUGGUUACCUUACCGCAUCUGUGAACCAUCUAUAACAGGCGAGGGGUUAAGAUGGCGGCGAAUAUUGGUGAACCCGAUUUUGCUGCUAAGAUGAUUUAUAGUGUUGCAGUUGGAAAAGAUGGCGUGUGUGUAGUGCGAAGUGAAAUCGCUAAAUAUAAUGAACGUAUUCCAAGUUCACAGUGUGUAAUCAACAGCCUCAGAAGAGAAAACUACAGCCUGAAGUACGAAUAUAUGCAGCUGAAAUCAAAACCAUACAUGGAUGACCUACCAAACAAAGAGUGUCGGCAAUUUGGAAGAAAGUAUCCAACAACGGAAUGCAUUAAGGCGGCGGCACACAGGAAGAGAUAGCUAACGUUGACGUGGUGCUCUACGAGUUUUGUAGCGCCACUUCCUGCUAUUUCACGUUGAGGAGCCAUUUUUCUCAUGUGAAACACAAAAUAAGUUCUGCGAUAUUUCGAGGCCGGCAUCACACUAUCAAAUUUCUUUGUCAAAGAGUUGAUAAAAGAUGUGAUCAAAUAUUCCAUCAAAUAUUCCGUCAAAUAUAAUUGACAAAGAUCUUUCACGUAGCGGUAGAAGGGGUAUUACAGUUUUCAACUUAUAUUUUUCUUCAAAGUUCAAGGUGACUGACAAUAACAACUUGUUAUUAACCGCAACAGUUGCAUACACCACAAGUGCACUGUGUGAGCAAGCGGAAGAGAAGCGGGGAAAAAAAAGGAAACAUACCUGGGUGAAGCCGUGGGUUUUACGACGACAUGAUAAAAGCAUUCAACAAAAUUAGUUACGUGAGCUUGUAGUGACGGACGUGAAGUCGUACAUCAAUUACUUAAUAAUGGAUGAGCAUACAUUUCUGUAUGUGUUCAGUGAAGUGAAGUGUGUCCUCAUAUCGCGAAGCACAAUAUGAAGUGCUACAUCUGCAGAAGACAGUCCAAAGGAUUGGCAAACAAAGUUCUAAAACAUGAGGAACAUGUACAAUGUUCAGAAUAGAAAAAAGGAAAGAAAGUAUGAGAAUCGGAGUUGGAACAGAUGAUGUGUAUACGCCAGCUUUGUGGUACUUUCACAGGUUAGAAUAUCUGCAAGAACACUACAUCCCUUAGGUAUUCAGAUGGAUGAAAGCUCAGUCGAUAAUAAUGCUGUGCGAUCUUCCACACAUGAUCUGAUGGUGGAGAAUGAUAUAGACCUCAGUGAAGAAACUGAAGUAAUAGGUGAAGUGCCUUCACCAGUAACUACGUAGAGUAUAGGACAGAGUGGCACAGCAAGUAAUUCUACACCAAAAAGAAGGAAAUGGAGCGAGGAAGGGAGCUAUUAAAGUGCUAUUGACUUAAUAGCUGAAAGAUUACAGACUAAUAGUGACGAUGAUGUAGACACAUUUGUGAAAUAUUUGGCCACUGAGAUGAAGACCAUUAGAAGCCACGAAACAAGAAUGUUAGUUAAACAACAAAUUCUCCAACUCGUGUAUGAGGCUGUUCUCAAUCAAUAAAUGGUGUGUGAAUCCGG